Molecule: unclassified non-coding RNA, 5542 nt
Filed under: Hevea brasiliensis (rubber tree)
Lineage: Eukaryota; Viridiplantae; Streptophyta; Magnoliopsida; Malpighiales; Euphorbiaceae
Source: RNAcentral
CAUCCCAAAACUUCAUCCAUUGAGUCCUGCAGCUGCGGCCGUAGGCAAUGAACUCUACAAUGUACGAGACUACCACUGCCACUCGAGCAACUCAUCCAUCUUCACUCUUCCCACAAAUCACAAGAUGCAAAUCUAUCGCACAGCUUAAUCAAAUUCACGCCCACUUCAUCAAAACUGGCCUUGUUCGUGACCCUCUUGCUGCGGCCGAAAUUCUCAAAUUUCUCUCCCUUUCCAAUCACCGUGACCUCAACUACGCGCGUAAGUUUUUUGCUCAAAUUCGUGAACCCAAUUGCUUCUCUUGGAACACCGUCAUCAGAGCUUUUGCUGAAGCUGAUGAUGAUGAUAGUCAGAAUGAUAGCGAUUGUUAUAAGAACCCAUUUGAAGCGUUUUUAUAUUUUUGCCAAAUGUGUAGCGAUGGUUUUGUGGAACCCAAUAGAUUCACCUUCCCUUCUGUGUUAAAAGCCUGUACUAAAACGGCAAGGCUUCAAGAAGGGAAGCAGGUUCAUGGGUUUGUUGUCAAAUUAGGAUUGGAUAGUGAUGAAUUUGUUGCUAGCAAUCUUGUUAGGAUGUAUGUUAUGUGUGGACUCAUGGAGGAUGCCUAUGUAUUGUUUAUGAAGCACGUUUCUGAGUAUGAUAAUCCUAGCAAAUUACCUAGAGAUAAAAGGACACAAGAGGGUAAUGUGGUUUUAUGGAAUGUGAUGCUUGUGGCUUAUGGGCAGCUGAAUAAUUUAAGCGGGUCAGUUCAGGUAUUUAGACAAAUGCAGAUUGAAGGCUUUAUACCUAAUCAAUUUACCUACCCGAGUAUUUUGAGAACUUGCACAUCAUUUGGAGCUCUUGAUCUAGGGGAGCAAAUCCAUUCUCAAGUCAUAAAGGCUGGCUUUCAGUUUAAUGUGUAUGUCUGUAGUGUGCUUAUAGAUAUGUAUGCUAAGCAUGGAAAACUAGAUAUUGCCCAAGGGCUUCUUAGAAGACUUACUGAGGAAGAUGUUGUUUCGUGGACAGCUAUGAUUGCAGGGUACACACAACAUGAUUUAUUUGCUGAAGCUCUUAAACUGUUUGAAGAAAUGCUAAACCGAGGGAUCCAAUCAGACAACAUAGGCUUUUCAAGUGCAAUCAGUGCAUGUGCUGGUAUUCAAGCACUGAAUCAAGGACAACAAAUUCAUGCCCAAUCAUAUGUCUCUGGUUUUUCUCAAGAUCUUUCAAUUGGCAAUGCACUUGUUAGCCUUUAUGCUAGAUGUGGUAGAAUUCAAGAAGCAUACUUGGCAUUUGAAAAAAUUGAUGCCAAAGAUAGUAUAUCAUGGAAUGGAUUGAUAUCUGGAUUUGCACAAAGUGGAUACUGUGAGGAAGCACUGAAGAUCUUUGUUCGGAUGAAAAGAGCUAAUGUAGAAGCUAGUUUAUUCACAUUUGGCUCUGCAGUUAGUGCCGCUGCCAAUAUGGCCAAUAUAAAGCAAGGGAAGCAGAUCCAUUGCAUGAUUAUAAAAACAGGAUUUGAUUUGGAAAUUGAAGUUUCCAAUGCUUUAAUUACACUCUAUGCAAAGUGUGGUUGCAUUGAUGAUGCCAAAAGAGAGUUUUUUGAGAUGUCUGAGAAAAAUGAAGUUUCUUGGAAUGCUAUGAUUACGGGCUAUUCUCAACAUGGAUGUGGUAAUGAAGCAGUAAAUCUUUUUGAAGAAAUGAAACAGGUAGGUGCACUACCAAACCAUGUCACUUUUGUUGGAGUUCUAUCAGCUUGUAGCCAUGUGGGGUUGGUCAAUCAGGGUCUUGCAUACUUUGAAUCCAUGAGCAAAGAGCAUGGCUUAGUGCCUAAGCCUGAACAUUAUGCAUGUGUUGUGGAUCUUCUUAGUCGUGCUGGUCGUUUGAGCCAAGCAAAAAAAUUUAUUGAGGAGAUGCCAAUUGAACCAGAUGCAAUGGUUUGGAGAACCCUUUUAAGUGCUUGUAUAGUUCAUAAGAACACAGCAAUCGGAGAGUUUGCUGCUCUUCAUCUAAUGGAAUUGGAACCUGAAGAUUCAGCAACUUAUGUUCUUCUGUCAAAUAUGUAUGCAGUGGCUGGGAAUUGGGAUUGUAGGGACCAGACCAGGCAGAUGAUGAAAGACAAAGGUGUGAAGAAAGAGCCUGGUCGUAGUUGGAUUGAGGUUAAGAACUCAGUUCAUGCAUUCUUUGUUGGUGAUAAGCUCCAUCCCCUAGCAGAUAAAAUAUAUGAAUUCUUAGCUGACCUGAAUAAAAGGGCAGCUGAAAUUGGUUACAAGCAAGAUAGAUAUAGCCUGUUAAAUGAUGUAGAGCAGGAGCAGAAGGAUCCAGCUGUAUAUAUUCAUAGUGAGAAACUGGCUAUUGCAUUUGGACUUCUUAGUUUGUCAGAUCCAAUUCCCAUACGUGUAAUGAAGAAUCUUCGUGUCUGUAUUGAUUGCCACACAUGGAUUAAGUUUGUAUCAACGAUUUCAAAUCGGACAAUUGUGGUACGAGACGCAUACCGCUUUCAUCAUUUUGAAGGUGGAGUUUGUUCAUGUAGAGAUUAUUGGUAAGCAAAAUUGCAGGAAGAUUGUUGGAAACAAGGAUUUCAAGGGAUCUGAGAGCAUGUUAUGUUCUUGGAAGAAUCUGCAUCAGCUCGUAAAAUCACCUGCCACUUAUUAGUCACUACCAAGUCCCCUCCAAGCUGUCUGCCUUUUCAUUUGUUAAUACAAAUAUGGUGUUUCUUCCCAUAGAGAUCACAGGGAGUAUUCGACCAGACAAAAAAAGAUGGCCAAGGGAAAACUGUGAAGGAAGUGUUCCAUUAGGAUGACCUGGAAUAAUCAUUGCCAUAGAUCCUCCAGGAGCAAUCUCUUCUGCUCUAGCAGCUGAGCAGAAUUGGCUUCGCCAACUUCAGUCGGUGCAUUUACAGGAUGAAUUCUGGCCCUAUUACACACAUAAGAAUGCAAGUCACUUAGCUCUUGCGGUGCCCUGAAAAGCCAUUGCAAUGCAGAAGCUGAAUAGACGAAGUUUGGGGAUGAUUUUGGACAAAAUAUGCCAUGGAAAAAGCCUGGAACUCCAGCACCAAAUUAUCCUUAGUUUGAAGGAAAAUUGACAAAUAGGGUAUUGAAAUCAUUGGAAGUAUGAUUUUGAUUUGAUUUGAUUUACUUAUUUUGUUUAGACCAAUGUUUCCGGUCUAAAACAAGGUUCAGCAGCCAAUUUGUCUCUAACUUGGAUUAUCUCAUUCUGGAAAUUGGUUCUCGUGAGAUUUAACAAUGUCUUGAAGUACUUGGUGAACUUCUUGAUGUUGAUUCCAUAAAUGCGUGGCUGGGGUUCACUCUCCUUAUUUCUGGGGCUUUGACAAUGUAAGCUUAGCAAUCAUUCCUCUCUUUUAUCUAUCAUCUCCUAAUAUGAUUUACUGGGAGAAGAUGAAAUAAUCUCCAUUCCUUGAUAUUUAGUGGUUCCAGAAGAGUAACUCUGGUCUCUGGAGCAUGCAAGAUGUGAAGGUUGUAGAGCCCUGGGAUCUUGUUAGGGGAAAAGAAAGAUUAAAAGAAAAUAAAAUUUUCCUCUCUAGUUUUGUUUGUUACUUGCUAUUCUCGCUGUGUUUGACAUGUCUAAUAAUUCUACCUUUUUCUCUUUCUAAUAACAACUCUAGAGCAUGCAAAAUGAGUCAUUAAUGCCCUUGGUUAUUGAGGAUUUUCUAUUUUCUAUCUGGUGGGUGUCCAGAGAAGGUGAUUGCAGGCCCAAAGCAACUGGGGGUUUAUUUCAGGAGACACAAAGUAGGGAAAACAGAUGAUUCAGGAAGCUUGCAUAUGAAGGUUAUUGAAGGGGAGUUAUUUCUGUUAGAAAGAAUUAAGGAGCGACUGACACCUGGAGAUGCUAACAGAAAAAGGGCAGCUCAAAUUCCAGAAUAAUAAGGAGCAGCAGGAGAAAGGAGGGUGUGCAGAAACUUUCAAAGAAACGGCCUAGAGCUGGGGCAUGGUUCUCUUGCACGGGGGUGUUUCAUGGUUUAUUUUAUUUUAAGCAUUUCUUGUAUUUUUCACGACUGUAUUAAGAAAGAAGAGUGAAUCUACUGCUGAGAAAACAGAUUGGUUUUGUAAUUGAAAUUUCAGUCUUCAAUACAAUCAAAGUUACAAUGCCUGCUCUUUACAUUCUCAUUUAUAGUUUCUAAUUCUAUCAAAUGACAACUUUGGAUUGCCAAUACUAGGUAAAAUUAAAAAAAAUAUUUGACAAUCUUUCAGUUAAUGAAAACUCAUUUCCUGUCUUCUUCCAUACAUAGUCGACUCUUACAGCAAAAUCACAUCAUGGUGAUGCCUAUUGCAUACCAAUUAUAAUCGAAGAGCAAAGAAAUAUUCCUAGAGCACAUCAAAUUUGCCAUCAAUGAUUCUUUGGACUCUGCAUAAUGGCGAAAAGCCUAAUCGCAUAGAUAGAGUUGCACAAAACAAAAUAUGCUUAAUUCCUUUAGUUAAAUUGACAACUGCUCUAAUCAUGUGGGUAUUACCUCUUUUCACAGGGAAUAGCUAUCAAACAAUCAGGCAACAGUUGCCACAGAAAAAGAAUAAAAUCGGCAUUCUUACAGAAUUUUACCAUUAAUCACCUAGGUAAAUGAACAAACUACAACAAGAUACGGACAACGGCAAGCCCAACAGCAGAUAUUGAAACAAGGGUACCUAUGCAGUAUUUAAUCACGUCAUACUUUGCAGCUUCCAACUGUGCUCUCAAUGAAUGAAUUUCCCUGUCAAGCUUGUUCGUAAGGUUGUUGGUUUCUGCACUCUGAUUAGCAAGCUCAUCACGUAUGCGCCCUCUUUCAAGAUUUAAAUCCAAACGUUGCCCAGCUGUGACCUUGUCAAUUUCAUACCUCAGUUCACUGCGCAUUUUAUCUAUGUCGCUCCGUAGUUUUUCAGUCUCACGUUGCAACAAAGAAAAAUGAUGUUCCUGAGAACUCUGUACUUCAGACUUGAACUUUGACAAAUUUGAUUCUUGAAUCAUUUCACUCUUUUGCAUUUCAGCCUUGGAAACAAAAGAAUGCGCCACAUUUUCCAAGCUAUCGUUUAACACUUCAGUGAUAGCAGCAGUUAUCGCCUCAGCCUGCUUCGAAGGCACACCUUGCGCUUCCAAACCUCUCACCAGAGCCAAUGUAUCAACGAGAAACGCGCGCUUUACAUUAGAGUUAACGAGCUGAGAUAUCUGUCUGUACUCAAAUCCAUUAGCAAAAGAAGUUGAAGAUGAAUUGAUAGAUCGAAACUUGGUGAAAUGAAACGCAGCAUUCAGCCCUAAUUGAACACUACGCUUACACAUAGCCAUCAAAUUUGCAGUUUUCGUUAACAGAAUGAAUCAAUAUUAAGAAAAAUUAGUAGCAGAAGAAUGAAACCGAUUGUUACAAAGAAUGGAACAAGAGGACUUUGUUCAUUUCUGCGAAGAAAUGAAGAGAAUAACUCUGGAAGAGGAGAGUUGCGCUUGAUAGGAAAUGGGAACGUAGUCGUUGGAUAAAAAGAAAAUGAACAAUAUACGGUUGCUUGCCCAAAACGCUUAGCGCCUUUUUGAUUUCGUUUGCGUUCUCUAGGGUCCCGGGAGACCGUCGUCAAACUCAUAUGCUUGCUUGGAG